Molecule: long non-coding RNA, 3407 nt
Organism: Mustela erminea (ermine)
Lineage: Eukaryota; Metazoa; Chordata; Mammalia; Carnivora; Mustelidae
Exons: 5
Source: RefSeq, a predicted model, not a curated record
UUAAAGACAAUGAGUUCCACCGUAUCAAGGCUUGUAGGUUACAUUGUAUGUUAACAAACUGGAAUUUAAAUAAAAACCUAAAAAAAUGCUUAAAAAAGAGUUGCAUGUAUGGUUGGCAUUAGAUACUCACGAAAUAUUUUGGGUUGCCCUCUCUAGUGGGCACAUCGUAGGGCUGUGUUUUUCUACCCCCUUGAACUAAAUUGUGACCACAUGACUUGUUUUGGCCAAUGAAAUGUGAGCAGAGUGACUUGCAUUCCUUCUGGGUGGGAUGUUUAAGAGCCAGUGCAGGAGUGCCCUGCUUCCUGCUUUAGCAACCAUUGAAGGACAGAAAUAGAACCUCCAUCAGCCUGGGCCCCUGACUGAGGACAGUGCAGACUGGAGGUCCUAGUAUAUUUCUGCAGCAGGCAAGAAAUCCUGAGUGAGGAAGCUCAGACUUCACCAACCUCCCGGUUCUGAAAUUACUCAUCCAGACAUGAAACAAAAUUGAAAAAUCAGAGAGAUCUAGUUUGAAGGAAAAAGAAUGGUUGAUGGCCUUGGGAACCAAAGUUCUGAUAAGGGGAAGGCAAUUAGCCAAGGAUGCAGUGGGUCGGUGCUGGGAGCAGACCUGAAGCCUGGUAUCUUAAUGGUCAGUCCAGCGGUCCAUCCUCUAUGAGCACUGCGGGGCUCCAAGAUGUAGCUACGAAGUCACAGAGAACAGCUCUCUGUUUGAAGGCAGUUGAAAUUGCCCCUCCCCAGUCAUGGAAACAAGAAUCAUGCAGAAGUCUGGUCUUUCAAAGCAGAGGCCCUGACCCACCUGAGCACGGAGGAGGAUCCGCCUUUGUUAAUCUGGGGGCUUUUUUAGGCUACAUUGUUUCUGUUAUCACCUGUCAGUUCCUCUUUGGGAAGUCUGGCAUCCGUUGUUCCUGGGACUUGGGCCCCAUCUGGAGGAGGCUCUGGACGGUGAGCAGGCAGGCCCGUCAAGCCUGUAGAGCUUUUCUUCUGGAUCUUUUCUGCCAGUGACAGGCCUGUGGCGGUUCGGAGCCUGGACCAAGUGCUACCAGCAGUCUGACCACCACGUAGACCCUGCUGCUUUCAUGCUGGCCGGGACAGAUGACCUUGCGAAGACCUUCCAUGCGACCCCACCCCAUGAACCACCUGAUAAAAGAGAAAACUUCCAAGCUCUUUCCUCAAGUUUUGGGUUCAUCAGUUGGGCGGUGAUUGAGUAGUAGAGCUCUAGUGGUUCCUAGGAUCAGGGACAGUUGGGAAAUGUCACCUGAGACACAUCUCACCUUGAGCUCCUGUGAAUCUUGUUCCGGCUCUUCUGAUGACAAGCUUUCUUGUACAGAUUGCCAGUGAACCUCCGUGUCUGAAAACCACUCAUCCUGAGCUCCUCUUUUACCCUCGCAGGCAAAUUUGGUCUCUGCCAGCAUCUAUUGAGUGCUUACUGUAUGCAUGCCAGGGCUUGGCUUGGAGGGCACGGCCGUGUAUAAGACAGUCCUAGGAGUCCCAGAUGCUGCCACCCGCAUUGAGAAGGCAGCUCUGCCAAUGGCGCCAUGGGAUCAGAGCUAACGAAUUCUUCCCUGCCCACUACAUACCUGCCCGAAGCUGAGUGCUGAAGAUUUGGAGGCCUAGAUAGGGAGACGGGAAGAUUAGGAUUUGGAAUUUGGCACUCCAGAGAGAAGGAAUGACACACACAAAAGCCCCAAGGGGCCUGGAGUAGAGGGUGCAUGUCAUGGAGUUAGGACAGAGGGAGCCACUGCUCAUAAGACCUUGACCCUUUUGGCCCAUCCCAACCUCUCUGAAUGUGUAGACUCUUCCGUAACUCUGAGCAGUCCCUGUCCCUGGGACCCAGGAUGCCCUUCUUUCCUCUUCUAUCUGGUAAGGACUCCAUGCGGGGCAAGUUUCGAGUGAAUUAAAGUUAAGGUGGGCUGAGAAAGGCAGGCUAGAUCCAACCAGUGGAAGGUCUCGUUGGCCAUGUUUAGGAUUUUGAACUUGAUUCGGAGGGUGAUGGGGAAUUCAUGAAUGGCGUGAAGCUGCUGAGGGGCAAGACAGUGGGGUGAUGGUGUCCUUGAACAGUGGCUCUGGCUGCUUCGUGUUGGUGGGUUGGGAGGAUGAGACUGGAUGCAGAGAGGGGCUGGCUGAAAUGUGAGUCAGUCUUGUGGUAGGGCAGAGAAGCAACAGGUUCGCUCCGCCUCUGCCUGGUGAGCCCAUCCCUGCCUGCAGCCUCCUGAACCUGUGUCUGGAGGGGCUGAGAGUCUGGGGACCUUAGUGCUCCUGUGUAGCUCCAGGGCACGUGGCUUUUCUGGGGCGUCAGAGAACUACGCUGCUGGAAGGAGGAGGUCAAGCCUGGAGCAUAUCUUAGUCAGGAUCGAUGUCCAGACCUUGACACGAACUACCCUGUCCCCAGUGGGCUGGUGCGACCUCCCCAUGUGGGCUGACCGUGGGCUCCUGUGGGAGGGGCUGUGGUAUCUUGGCACCCCACUGCUCAACAUGAGGCUGGACGCAGGUUAGAGACAAAUCAUCCGUGGUGGGUACGUGGCACACAUCACUUAGUCUUGUUUUGUAUAUAUUUUUUUUAAUUAAAAGAAACAGCUGUUUGGCAGAUCCCACUUAGGCAGACAGAGUGAUGUGGUCCUUGCAUUAAAUCCAGGGCAUCCCAAGCACGUAGGUCUACUUGCCAAUAGUCUGGACCGUGCGCUGGUGUUUGGGCCCGCGGGUGAAGCAGCUGGCUGUCCGUGCUGUGUUGCCGACCAGGUGUCUGUAAUAGUUGGCCUGGAAUCAAGGCUGGGGUGGUAUGUUAGUUCAAGACUUGCAAGUAGGAAAUAAAGGAAAGGAAAUGAUCUCUUGAGUGGGCCAGGUCCUAUUCUAGAUGUUUUCACAUCCAUUAACUCAUGUAAUUCUCACUCGGCUCGGCGAGGUGGGAAUAAUCACCCCAAUUUCACAGAUGGGGAAACAGAACUGGAGAGGGAGAGUGACGAGUUCGUGGUCACCUGGGUGGUAAGCGGAGGCGUGGGGAAUGUGGGCAGGUGUGAGGCCUCACCCCAAAGAGGGGUGUUACACAAAAUACAGCAUGUCCAGGGAGAGGAACCAGAUGGCGGGAGACCAGUAAUCAUAUAGGAAGCAGCCGUGUGUAAGGAAUCGAGAAUGUUAACCUAGAGCACACCAGCGUCCAAAUGAGUCCCCUGGAAGUGGGUCCAGGCUCUUCCCAUGUGUUCCCAGAGAGGAGCCAACUGCGAAGGGAAGAGAUUUACAGAGUGGGAGUGUUGGUUCAGCUCAAGGGAAAUCUUUCUAACCACCAGCGUCUCAAGCUGAAAACGAUUCCUUCCUGAAGUCCUGCUUUUGGACACAGCCGUAUUAUUGGAUAAUGCAUGUUUUCACGGAACAAAACGGCGGGAUCACGAGGUUACUCUUGAAAACUACUCAUGGUU